This 468-nucleotide ribosomal RNA is filed under the name uncultured bacterium. Its description in RNAcentral is "partial 16S ribosomal RNA". It matches the Rfam family "Bacterial small subunit ribosomal RNA", at positions 28 to 507 of the family's 1533-position model. The record is from RNAcentral.
GACGAACGCUGGCGGCGUGCUUAACACAUGCAAGUCGAACGGAAAGGCCCUGCUUUUGUGGGGUGCUCGAGUGGCGAACGGGUGAGUAACACGUGAGUAACCUGCCCUUGACUUUGGGAUAACUUCAGGAAACUGGGGCUAAUACCGGAUAGGAGCUCCUGCUGCAUGGUGGGGGUUGGAAAGUUUCGGCGGUUGGGGCUGGACUCGCGGCUUAUCAGCUUGUUGGUGGAGUAGUGGCUUACCAAGGCUUUGACGGGUAGCCGGCCUGGGAGGGUGACCGGCCACCUUGGGACUGCGAUACGGCCCAGACUCCUACGGGCGGCAACAGUGGGGAAUAUUGCACAAUGGGCGGAAGCCUGAUGCAGCAACGCCGCGUGCGGGAUGACGGCCUUCGGGUUAUGAACCGCUUUCGCCUGUGACGAAGCGUGAGUGACGGUACUGGGUAAAGAAGCACCGGCUAACUACGUG